RNAcentral lists this ribosomal RNA (490 nucleotides) under uncultured bacterium. RNAcentral describes it as "partial 16S ribosomal RNA". It matches the Rfam family "Bacterial small subunit ribosomal RNA", at positions 28 to 507 of the family's 1533-position model. The record is from RNAcentral.
GAUGAACGCUAGCGAUAGGCUUAACACAUGCAAGUCGAGGGGCAGCAUGGUCUUAGCUUGCUAAGACUGAUGGCGACCGGCGCACGGGUGCGUAACGCGUAUGCAACUUGCCUCACAGAGGGGGAUAACCCGUCGAAAGGCGGACUAAUACCGCGUACACUUGGGAUAGGGCAUCCUGACCCAAGGAAAUGAAAUUCGCUGUGAGAUAGGCAUGCGUCCCAUUAGCUAGUUGGUGAGGUAACGGCUCACCAAGGCGACGAUGGGUAGGGGAACUGAGAGGUUGAACCCCCACACUGGUACUGAGACACGGACCAGAAUCCUACGGGAGGCAGCAGUGAGGAAUAUUGGUCAAUGGGCGAGAGCCUGAACCAGCCAAGUCGCGUGAAGGAUGACUGUCUUAUGGAUUGUAAACUUCUUUUAUACGGGAAUAACAAGAGCCACGUGUGGCUCCCUGCAUGUACCGUAUGAAUAAGCAUCGGCUAACUCCGUG